This 485-nucleotide ribosomal RNA is filed under the name uncultured bacterium. RNAcentral's name for it is "partial 16S ribosomal RNA". It matches the Rfam family "Bacterial small subunit ribosomal RNA", at positions 28 to 506 of the family's 1533-position model. The record is from RNAcentral.
GAUGAACGCUGGCGGCGUGCCUAGUACAUGCAAGUCGAACGCUGGAGCUCUAGCUUGCUAGAUCGAAGGAGUGGCGAACGGGUGAGUAAUACAUAAGCAACCUACCCACGAAGACUGGGAUAAUCUCUGGAAACGGGGACUAAUACCGGAUAGGUAAUCGGAAGGCAUCUUCUGGUUAUUAAAGGUUAAAAACACUGGUGGAUGGGCUUAUGGCGCAUUAGUUAGUUGGUGAGGUAACGGCCCACCAAGACGAUGAUGCGUAGCCGGCCUGAGAGGGUGAACGGCCACAUUGGGACUGAGACACGGCCCAGACUCCUACGGGAGGCAGCAGUAGGGAAUUUUCGGCAAUGGGGGCAACCCUGACCGAGCAACGCCGCGUGAGUGAAGACGGCCUUCGGGUUGUAAAGCUCUGUUGUAAGGGAAGAACGGUAGAUAGAGAAUAUCUAAGUGACGGUACCUUACCAGAAAGCCACGGCUAACUACGU